ACUAAGUCAGAGGUGAAAACCCAUGGCUAAACUGUGGGAUAGCAACUGAAACUAGAGAUCUUGAGUACUGGAGAGGGAAGCGGAAUUCCUAGUGUAGCGGUGAAAUGCGUAGAUAUUAGGAGGAACACCAGUGGCGAAGGCGGCUUCCUGGACAGAGACUGACACUGAGGCGCGAAAGCGUGGGGAGCGAACAGGAUUAGAUACCCUGGUAGUCCACGCUGUAAACGAUGGAUACUAGGUGUAGGUGGUAAGAAACCAUCUGUGCCGGAGUAAACACAAUAAGUAUCCCACCUGGGGAGUACAGCCGCAAGGUUGAAACUCAAAGGAAUUGACGGGGGCCCGCACAAGCAGUGGAGUAUGUGGUUUAAUUCGAAGCAACGCGAAGAACCUUACCAGGGCUUGACAUCCCUUGAACUAUCUAGAGAUAGGUAGGGCCUACGGGACAAGGAGACAGGUGGUGCAUGGUUGUCGUCAGCUCGUGUCGUGAGAUGUUGGGUUAAGUCCCGCAACGAGCGCAACCCUUAUAGCUAGUUGCCAGCAAUAAGAUGGGGACUCUAGCGAGACAGCCGUUGAGAAAACGGAGGAAGGAAAGGAUGACGUCAAAUCAUCAUGCCCCUUAUGCUCUGGGCUACACACGUACUACAAUGGCUACUACAGAGGGAAGCGAAGCCAGGAGGCGGAGCAAAUCUCAAAAAGGUAGUCCCAGUUCAGAUUGUAGGCUGAAACUCGCCUGCAUGAAGUAGGAAUUGCUAGUAAUUGCAGGUCAGAAUACUGCAGUGAAUACGUUCCCGGGCANUUGUACACACCGCCCGUCACACCAUGAGAGUCUGCAACACCCGAAGUCAGUAGUUUAACCGAAAGGAGACACUGCCGAAGGUGGGGUAGUGAUUGGGGUGAAGUCGUAA
Molecule: ribosomal RNA, 905 nt
Filed under: uncultured organism
Description: bacterial SSU rRNA
Rfam family: Bacterial small subunit ribosomal RNA
Source: RNAcentral